UCUCUGAAGACAGAGAAGAUGCAGGG
This 26-nucleotide non-coding RNA is filed under the name Homo sapiens (human). Lineage: Eukaryota; Metazoa; Chordata; Mammalia; Primates; Hominidae. The record is from RNAcentral.